CCUACGGGAGGCAGCAGUGGGGGAUAUUGGACAAUGGGGGAAACCCUGAUCCAGCGACGCCGCGUGAGUGAAGAAGUAUUUCGGUAUGUAAAGCUCUGUCAGCAGGGAAGAAAGAAAUGACGGUACCUGACCAAGAAGCCCCGGCUAACUACGUGCCAGCAGCCGCGGUAAUACGUAGGGAGCGAGCGUUGUCCGGAAUUACUGGGUGUAAAGGGAGCGUAGGCGGGGAUGCAAGUUGGGUGUCAAAACUACCGGCUCAACUGGUAGUCGCACUCCAAACU
RNAcentral lists this ribosomal RNA (281 nucleotides) under uncultured bacterium. RNAcentral describes it as "partial 16S ribosomal RNA". It matches the Rfam family "Bacterial small subunit ribosomal RNA", at positions 338 to 634 of the family's 1533-position model. The record is from RNAcentral.